This 494-nucleotide ribosomal RNA is filed under the name Trigonopterus sp. 177 AR-2022a. Its description in RNAcentral is "partial large subunit ribosomal RNA". It matches the Rfam family "Bacterial large subunit ribosomal RNA", at positions 1851 to 2625 of the family's 2925-position model. Lineage: Eukaryota; Metazoa; Arthropoda; Insecta; Coleoptera; Curculionidae. The record is from RNAcentral.
AGUCUGACCUGCCCAUGAUAUUUAUUUAAUGGCCGCAGUAUAUUAACUGUGCAAAGGUAGCAUAAUCAUUAGUUUCUUAAUUGGAAGCUUGUAUGAAGGGUUUGAUGAAAAAAUUUCUGUCUCUGGAGAAAUUUAUUAGAAUUUUAUUUUUAAGUGAAAAAGCUUAAAUUUAUAUAGAAGACGAGAAGACCCUAUAGAGUUUAAUAUUUUUAUUUAAUUAAUUAAAAUUACAUUAAGUAUUUAGUUGGGGUGACGAAAAAAUUAAUUUAACUUUUUUUUCUUUAUACAUUAGUGUAUGGAUAUAUGAUCCUAAAUUUAGAUUAUAAGAAGAAACUACCUUAGGGAUAACAGCGUAAUUUUCUCUAGAGUUCUUAUCGAAAAGAAAGGUUGCGACCUCGAUGUUGGAUUAAAAUUAAUUGUUGGUGAAGAAGUUUAUAAAUUAGGUCUGUUCGACCUUUAAAAUUUUACAUGAUCUGAGUUUAAACCGGUGUGAG